GAUCAUGACUCAGAUUGAACGCUGGCGGCAGGCCUAACACAUGCAAGUCGAACGGUAACAGAAAGCAGCUUGCUGCUUUGCUGACGAGUGGCGGACGGGUGAGUAAUGCCUGGGAAACUGCCUGAUGGAGGGGGAUAACUACUGGAAACGGUAGCUAAUACCGCAUAACGUCGCAAGACCAAAGAGGGGGACCUUAGGGCCUCUUGCCAUCGGAUGUGCCCAGAUGGGAUUAG
This 233-nucleotide ribosomal RNA is filed under the name uncultured bacterium. RNAcentral's name for it is "partial 16S ribosomal RNA". It matches the Rfam family "Bacterial small subunit ribosomal RNA", at positions 15 to 244 of the family's 1533-position model. The record is from RNAcentral.